UACGUAGGUGGCAAGCGUUGUCCGGAAUUAUUGGGCGUAAAGCGCGCGCAGGCGGUCUUGUAAGUCAGAUGUGAAAGCCCCCGGCUCAACCGGGGAGGGUCAUUGGAAACUGGGCGACUUGAGUACAGAAGAGGAGAGUGGAAUUCGACGUGUAGCGGUGAAGUGCGUAGAUAUGUGGAGGAACACCAGUGGCGAAGGCGACUAUCUGGUCUGUAACUGACGCUGAGGCGCGAAAGCGUGGGGAGCAAACAGG
Molecule: unclassified non-coding RNA, 253 nt
Filed under: uncultured Bacillaceae bacterium
Lineage: Bacteria; Bacillati; Bacillota; Bacilli; Caryophanales; Bacillaceae
Description: contains 16S-23S intergenic spacer region
Rfam family: Bacterial small subunit ribosomal RNA
Source: RNAcentral